Podospora fimiseda is the source of this 123-nucleotide non-coding RNA. The record is from the annotation of a GenBank genome assembly. NCBI's taxonomy places the organism in Eukaryota, Fungi, Ascomycota, Sordariomycetes, Sordariales, Podosporaceae.
GCCCCCGUAGCUCAUCGGUCAGCGUUUUGUCUUUGUCUUUGUCUUUUCUUCAGCGUGUAUUGUUAUCCAGUGAUUGUGAUUAAGGCCAAGCGAAAGACGUCGGUUCGAAUCCGACCGGGGGUA